AACGGCCAUACCAUGCGGAAUAUAUCGGCUCUCAUUAGAUCACCGAAGUCAAGAAUCAUUGGGCGCGGUCAGUACUUGGGUGGGUGACCACCUGGGAACACCGCGUGCCGUU
This 112-nucleotide ribosomal RNA is filed under the name Caerostris darwini. The record is from RNAcentral. Lineage: Eukaryota; Metazoa; Arthropoda; Arachnida; Araneae; Araneidae.